RNAcentral lists this ribosomal RNA (232 nucleotides) under uncultured bacterium. RNAcentral's name for it is "partial 16S ribosomal RNA". It matches the Rfam family "Bacterial small subunit ribosomal RNA", at positions 99 to 334 of the family's 1533-position model. The record is from RNAcentral.
CGGACGGGUGAGUAAUGCUUGGGAAUCUAGCUUAUGGAGGGGGAUAACUACGGGAAACUGUAGCUAAUACCGCGUAGAAUCGAGAGAUGAAAGUGUGGGACCUUCGGGCCACAUACCAUAGGAUGAGCCCAAGUGGGAUUAGGUAGUUGGUGAGGUAAAGGCUCACCAAGCCGACGAUCAGUAGCCGGUCUGAGAGGAUGAACGGCCACACUGGAACUGAGACACGGUCCAG